Molecule: unclassified non-coding RNA, 1100 nt
Filed under: Hevea brasiliensis (rubber tree)
Lineage: Eukaryota; Viridiplantae; Streptophyta; Magnoliopsida; Malpighiales; Euphorbiaceae
Source: RNAcentral
GGUUCAGGCAUUUGUGGGAUAACAGAACUUAAAAGACACAGCGGAGAGGGAUGAGGCCAAAUUGGGAGUUGAAGAAUUGCUGCAACCAUGAGCAAGUAGUGUUUCUUGUUACUGUCUCUGUCUGUACUGUUGUCAUUUUUGCGUUAUGGAGAACAGUACUGCUGAGACCAUUCAAGCUUGUGACAGUAUUCCUUCACGAGGCAAGCCAUGCUAUUGCUUGUAAAUUAACAUGUGGCCAUGUGGAAGGGAUUCAGGUUCAUGCAGAUGAAGGUGGAACCACUCAAACGCGUGGUGGUGUGUACUGGUUGAUCUUGCCAGCUGGAUAUCUCGGUUCCUCCUUUUGGGGAAUGGUUUUAAUACUUGCAUCCACAAAUCUUCUUACAGCAAGAAUUGCAGCAGGAUGUUUUGUUGUUGCUCUACUUGUAGUACUGUUGGUGGCUAAAAAUUGGACUCUUCAGGGACUUUGUAUUGGGUUUGUUGUUUUCCUUGGAGUGAUUUGGGUCCUGCAAGAAACAACAAAAGUUCGUAUUCUUCGGUAUACUAUUCUAUUCAUUGGUGUAAUGAACAGCUUGUUUUCAGUUUACGAUAUCUAUGAUGAUCUGAUAUCCCGUAGAGUUAAUUCUAGUGAUGCUGAAAAAUUUGCAGAAGUUUGCCCUUGCCCAUGCAAUGGCAUGGGCUGGGGCAUCAUUUGGGGUUUAAUAUCAUUCUUGUUUCUUUGUGGGGCCGUGUACCUCGGUAUCGUGAUAUUGUCUUGAGGAUUAGGAAUUCUGCUUCAAGUUGUAUGAUCACUUAGAGCCUAGACAAGGCAUCAACUUAAUUGCAACUUCCAGCUCUUAUCAAAUGGCAUCUCAUUUUAUAGAGAUGCUUUGACAAUGGCUUCAGCUGAAGGCAAAUGGAAUUGGUUAGUACCUGUAAUCCUUGUCUACUUCAUUGCAUUUACAUCAAACAAGUUAUUUUUGAUUUGUAUUUUGUUGUGGUGGCUGAGCAAAAAUUUGUUGAAACCCCAUAAGCAAAACUAAUCCAAUAUUCAGAUACAUCCCAUUCAAAUGGGAAAAAUUAAAUUUGAUUUUUAAAUUGUUCAGAUGAAAGUUAGAUUACUU